AACGCUAGCACAGGCUUAACACAUGCAAGUCGAGGGGCAGCAUGGUCUUAGCUUGCUAAGGCCGAUGGCGACCGGCGCACGGGUGAGUAACACGUAUCCAACCUGCCGUCUACUCUUGGACAGCCUUCUGAAAGGAAGAUUAAUACAAGAUGGCAUCAUGAGUCCGCAUGUUCACAUGAUUAAAGGUAUUCCGGUAGACGAUGGGGCUGCGUUCCAUUAGAUAGUAGGCGGGGUAACGGCCCACCUAGUCUUCGAUGGAUAGGGGUUCUGAGAGGAAGGUCCCCCACAUUGGAACUGAGACACGGUCCAAACUCCUACGGGAGGCAGCAGUGAGGAAUAUUGGUCAAUGGGCGAGAGCCUGAACCAGCCAAGUAGCGUGAAGGAUGACUGCCCUACGGGUUGUAAACUUCUUUUAUAAAGGAAUAAAGUCGGGUAUGGAUACCCGUUUGCAUGUACUUUAUGAAUAAGGAUCGGCUAACUCCGUGCCAGCAGCCGCGGUAAUACGGAGGAUCCGAGCGUUAUCCGGAUUUAUUGGGUUUAAAGGGAGCGUAGAUGGAUGUUUAAGUCAGUUGUGAAAGUUUGCGGCUCAACCGUAAAAUUGCAGUUGAUACUGGAUAUCUUGAGUGCAGUUGAGGCAGGCGGAAUUCGUGGUGUAGCGGUGAAAUGCUUAGAUAUCACGAAGAACUCCGAUUG
This 693-nucleotide ribosomal RNA is filed under the name uncultured bacterium. RNAcentral describes it as "bacterial SSU rRNA". It matches the Rfam family "Bacterial small subunit ribosomal RNA", at positions 32 to 715 of the family's 1533-position model. The record is from RNAcentral.